GUACAUGGGACUAAGCUGGGGGCCGACUACUGUGGGGCGUGAGAUUGAGGGAGGGAGUCAGACCACUGAACGGGUUCGGGGGUGCGGGAUGGAGGUUGCGGGACUGAGCUGGGGGGCUGGACUAUUGUGCAAGCAGAAGAAGAAUGUAGGACAGAGAUGGAAGGCCAGACAGUGCACUGAGUGGGCAGGGAGUGGGAGAGGAGAACAAGUUUGAGUCAGGAACCACUAUGCGAGCUGAGUGGGCUUAAGACGUUAAGGUGACUAUCAGCUUGCAGGUUGUUGGGCAAGACAAGUGGAAUUAAGGAAGAAGCACUAGGGAACUAGGAGAAGAGUGGAUUUCAGGGAAUGGUGACCACUUUGCAAGAGCGCGGGAAACCAAGGGAAGCUGGGGAGAAGAAAAAGCAGAAAGAGUCUCUCUAUGUUGUCCAGGCUGCCCUCAAGAUCACCAUCCUCCUGCUUCAGCCUCUCAAGUGCUGAGAUUAUUUGCAUGUGCAAUUCCACCCAGCUGAGAGACAACAAAUCUGAUACAAAGCAGUUCAUGCCGCCAGAAGAACAGAAAUAGAAGAAGUACAAUGGACCACCAAAAAGACCAAAGCCACUGCACCUCAAGAACCUGUUUUAGCCUACCUGUGUGGAGCAACGCAGAGUUGUCUCACCCUCCAAUUGCCUGGUGUCUGCAUUGAGCUCCAAGAGCAGUCAGCGUGGAUGACUGCUAGAUAGGAUUCCUGGCACAUGACAAGAGAACUUGGUGGAUGAAGUCCAUGCAGUCAGCUCCUUCUCACCAGACAGAUCUCAGCCCAAAGGCCCCUCCUGAGAGCAGCCACCCUGGACUCCUCUCUGUCUCUGGUCCUCCCUCAUGUACCUCCUCUAACACA
RNAcentral lists this long non-coding RNA (875 nucleotides) under Heterocephalus glaber (naked mole-rat). Its description in RNAcentral is "lncRNA (ENSHGLG00000048057.1)". The record is from RNAcentral. Lineage: Eukaryota; Metazoa; Chordata; Mammalia; Rodentia; Bathyergidae.